UACAGAGGGGGCAAGCGUUGUUCGGAAUUACUGGGCGUAAGGGCGCGUAGGCGGCCUUCUAAGUCGAACGUGAAAUCCCUGGGCUCAACCCAGGAACUGCGUCCGAUACUGGAAGGCUUGAAUCCGGGAGAGGGAUGCGGAAUUCCAGGUGUAGCGGUGAAAUGCGUAGAUAUCUGGAGGAACACCGGUGGCGAAGGCGGCAUCCUGGACCGGUAUUGACGCUGAGGCGCGAAAGCCAGGGGAGCAAACGGG
RNAcentral lists this ribosomal RNA (252 nucleotides) under uncultured bacterium. RNAcentral's name for it is "partial 16S ribosomal RNA". It matches the Rfam family "Bacterial small subunit ribosomal RNA", at positions 524 to 776 of the family's 1533-position model. The record is from RNAcentral.